CUGAGUAGGUUGACUUUACGCGCAUAACAUUAUUUCAAUAUAAUAGAUUUUUUUAAACAAUUUAUAGUAAACUCAUGUUUAAAAAAAAAAAGUUCCUUCAGAAAAUGUUUCGGGGAAGCUCAGCUUCAUUCAGAGGGAAGGGAAUGCGACUUACGUGCGGGACAGGGAGCUGGCCAAGGAGGUUCCAACCGAGACAAAGUUCGAACUGUUCGAUCCAAGGAACACUUUACGCACCGCCAAAUUCAACUAUACCUGGGACUUUGGCAACGGGGAGGUGCUGUAUGUGCACCAUAACUACUUGUCCCCUGGAAACUACACUCUGCGGCUGAGAGUGGGGGCCCAAGUGAACAAAAACUCUAUUCCACUAACUGGGGUUUACACCAGUGUUGGACCCCAUCAGAAAUAUUGAGUUGAAAGGCCCUUUGAGUUUCGAGGUUUCCAGAAACAACAGUCUGGCUAAUCAUGUGGAUGGAAGUAGGCAUGUAGGCAUGUUGGAGGUUCCAACAGAACUGUGUAUCAGCAACCCCUACAGGCUGUCACCUGGCCAUGCUGUAUGAUAACACAUUCAGACUGAACCACACCUUCACGGCUUUAGGAGUGGCUUUAGGAGAGUCUUGACAUCAGUGCCCGCAAUGACAUCAGCAAACUACAGACCUCCUACAGCAUCUUCGUGAGGAGAGAUCGAAAGUCAGGUGUUAUCAUGUGGUCUGUGGAAAUACGGUCCAGUUUAGUCAUGCUAGGCUGAAGCUACAGUACAGUACACACUCUCUCCUCUCACUAUGAAUACAGUAUAGACUAGUUUGAUAUAGUACAAAUGAUCCAACUAUUAGUAUAGUGUCGCUCAGCAGUUCUGGUGGCAGAAGGGGUUUUGAUCCGAAUGUACCACUUUAGAUUUCAUGGUUCUCCUUGUUAUCUUAAAGGUAUACUAUGGGGUUUUGGCAAUGAGGCCCUCUAUCCACUUCCCCGGAGUCAGAUGAACUUGUAGAUAUACUUUUUAUGUCUCUGCAUGCAGUUUGAAGGAAGUUGCUAACUAGUGUUAGCACAAUUGCUAAAUUAUAUUAGUGCAAUGACUGGAAGUGUCUAUUCAUUGCGCUAACGCUGGUUAGCAUUGGCUCGCAAACCUACCUUGAACUACCUUCCUACUGGACACAGAGACAUACAGAUAGUAUCCAUGAGCUCAUCUGACUUUAGGGAAGUAGAUAAUGGGCUUCAUUGCCAAAAUCCCGAAGUAUCCCUUUAAACUGAACCGAGUGAUAGUGUUUUUCAGAGAAGUUAAAAGACGUCAAUGGGACAGUGGCCAGGGUUGAGGAAUUCUCUAGGGAGUUCUGGAGGAGAGUAAUUUAACUCAUGGACCCACAACCCAUACUGUUCAUGUCUCCUGUGGUGAACUGAUUUGUGGUGGGUGGUACACCUACAGAGGAGUUUCAGGAAGCUUGUGACCUAAUUCUAAUGCAUAUACAGAUAGAUUGUUUGAAACCAGAAGACUAAAAUAAUGAUGAAUGAUGGCUAGUGUAAAUAGGAACAUGAUUCAGUGGUGUACAACGUAUGUCAAGAGGCGACAUGCUGUGGUGCUUGAGUAAUCAUGUAUGCAGAAACUGGGGAGUAUGACAGUUACUAAUUGAGAGUGAAUUGUAAAUAGGAAAUCAAUUUUGCUUGUACAACUUCUGACCAGUAUUCCAGCUUGUCUAACUGCAUCAUGUAAUACUGUAGCAUUAAAGUAUGUGAAGAGUUUUCCCUACCUUGAACUAUGGUAAAAACAGUUCUUUCUGUCUCCUAAUAGCCUCCAAUAACCUGCUCUUCAUCCUGCCGUGUGCUGGGAUCAUGUUAGCAACCCUCGCCUUCAUCACUGUUAUAGCCAGUCGCCCUAAGAAGGGAAACAAUAACAAACCACAGAUGUCUGGGUACAGUAACGCCACUUACUCCAGCAUUAAAAUGGAACUGCAGCCCCAUCAGGACAUCCCUGAUAUCAGUAGUGAUCUGUAUGUGUCCAGGGCAGAGAAAGGAGAGGUCCAAACCCUUCUGUUGCAGCACGGUACCAGAGCUGACGCCUACUCGUACCGCAACCAGUCUUCAUUUACACGCUUUUGAUCUGGGCUUUGUGCUGGUCUGAUUCAAGUCCAAUGCUAAUAGUUUGCUAAAAAUGUAUGGUUUGAGAUUAAUAUACAUGUAAAGUAACCUUGAACUAUAAAUUAUUUCACUGAUGUACAAGUAUACUGAACAAAAAUAUAAAUGCAACAUGCAACAAUUUCAAUAAUA
This is a long non-coding RNA of Salvelinus fontinalis (brook trout), 2256 nucleotides long. RefSeq lists it as uncharacterized. NCBI's taxonomy places the organism in Eukaryota, Metazoa, Chordata, Actinopteri, Salmoniformes, Salmonidae. The record is from RefSeq and is a predicted model, not a curated record. The transcript has 5 exons.